UCAGCCAAUCAGGUGAGCGCAACGAAGUUGCGCUUCCUGAUUGGCUUAGAGACCUGUCAGUGACAGCUGUCACUGACAGAUCUUAAUCGUGGAAAGGUGUCCCAUGUGUCAACAUGGGACCCCUUUCAGUCCGUUUUUGGUGCGGGUAAAUGCGCUUUCUUUUUUUGCCAAGUACGUGGAUUUAUCUCUGGACCCUGAGGUCCUGCGUUGUAUCUUCCCAAGUGGCGUGGAUGUGAGGAGACACGACAUUUCACCCGAUGUUCCAUGGGCGACCUACUGGUGAUGUGGACCUGACCCUCCGCCAUGUAGCAGACAACCACCUCAGGUACUGCGGUGUAUCUUCCCAAGUGGCGUGGAUGUGAGGAGACACGACAUUUCACCCGAUGUUCCAUGGGCGACCUACUGGUGAUGUGGACCUGACCCUCCGCCAUGUAGCAGACAACCACCUCAGAUCUUCCGGUGUAUCCUUCCUAAGUGGUGUGGACGUGAAGAGACAGAUCCCCUGAUGUUCCCUGGGCAAUCUUACAUACAAUUCAACUGCAUUACAAAUUUUAAUAAAAACCACAGGAAACUUCUAUUUUUAAAAGUUUAU
Pseudophryne corroboree (corroboree frog) is the source of this 592-nucleotide long non-coding RNA. RefSeq lists it as uncharacterized. The record is from RefSeq and is a predicted model, not a curated record. The transcript has 4 exons. Lineage: Eukaryota; Metazoa; Chordata; Amphibia; Anura; Myobatrachidae.